AAAGAAACAAACCCUGGAUUUCCGUGUCCAACGUUUGACUGUCUGUCUUAUAUGAAAUUUUUUUUAUAAUUAGUAUUUUCAUUGUUGUUAGAUGAUAAAACAUGAUUAAUACUUUAUGCGUGACUCAUCUUUUUAAUUUUUUUCAUAUUUUUUUUAAAUAAGACAGAUGGAUAAACUGGACACGAAAACCCAGGGUUUCAAAUAAG
This is a non-coding RNA of Oryza barthii, 206 nucleotides long. NCBI's taxonomy places the organism in Eukaryota, Viridiplantae, Streptophyta, Magnoliopsida, Poales, Poaceae. The record is from Rfam.